Molecule: ribosomal RNA, 782 nt
Filed under: uncultured bacterium
Lineage: Bacteria
Description: bacterial SSU rRNA
Rfam family: Bacterial small subunit ribosomal RNA
Source: RNAcentral
AAAGGAGGGGCAAUACCGAAUAUUGUCCGGAACCGUGAAGGGUUUCGGGGAAAGGGAGGCCUCUGACACAAGCUUUCGCCUUAAGAUGAGCCCAUGGCCCAUCAGCUAGUUGGUAGGGUAAAGGCCUACCAAGGCUACGACGGGUCGCUGGUCUGAGAGGACGACCAGCCACACUGGCACUGAGAUACGGGCCAGACUCCUACGGGAGGCAGCAGUGAGGAAUAUUGCGCAAUGGGGGAAACCCUGACGCAGCAACGCCGCGUGUGGGAAGAAGGCCUUCGGGUCGUAAACCACUUUUACUCGGGACGAAAAAGGGAUAUCAAAUAAAUAUCCCCGAUGACGGUACCGUGAGAAUAAGCCACGGCUAACUCUGUGCCAGCAGCCGCGGUAAGACAGAGGUGGCAAGCGUUGUUCGGAAUUACUGGGCGUAAAGAGUCUGUAGGUGGUUUGUCAAGUCUUUGGUGAAAGGCCGUAGCUUAACUAUGGGAAUGCCAAAGAGACUGGCAGGCUGGAGGCUGGGAGAGGGAAGCGGAAUUUCUGGUGUAGCGGUGAAAUGCGUAGAUAUCAGAAGGAAGGCCGGUGGCGAAGGCGGCUUCCUGGAACAGUCCUGACACUGAGAGACGAAAGCGUGGGGAGCAAACAGGAUUAGAUACCCUGGUAGUCCACGCCCUAAACGAUGGGUACUAAGUGUGGAGGGGUUAAACCCUCCGUGCCGCAGCAAACGCAGUAAGUACCCCGCCUGGGGAGUACGGCCGCAAGGUUGAACUCAAAGGAAUUGACGG